RNAcentral lists this ribosomal RNA (274 nucleotides) under uncultured bacterium. RNAcentral describes it as "partial 16S ribosomal RNA". It matches the Rfam family "Bacterial small subunit ribosomal RNA", at positions 523 to 796 of the family's 1533-position model. The record is from RNAcentral.
AUACGGAGGGUGCAAGCGUUGUUCGGAAUCACUGGGCGUAAAGGGCGCGCAGGCGGUUUGGUAAGUCAGAUGUGAAAGCCCACGGCUCAACCGUGGAAGUGCAUUUGAAACUGCCAGACUUGAGUACCAGAGGGGAAAGUGGGAUUCCCGGUGUAGAGGUGAAAUUCGUAGAUAUCGGGAGGAAUACCGGUGGCGAAGGCGACUUUCUGGCUGGAUACUGACGCUGAGGCGCGAAAGCGUGGGGAGCAAACAGGAUUAGAAACCCUAGUAGUCC